AUGGAAGCAGGUUUAGAAAAAGGAAAGACAUGGCAAAAGAAUUUGCUCAAAUUUUUUUACUGUAAGGUAGGGGAUUUCCCUUUUAAAUAUAUGGGUGUGCCUUUGCACUUUAAAAAACAUAGGAGAAAAGACAUUCAACCUAACAUUGAUAGGUUUAUCAAGAACAUAUCUGGUUGGUUGGGGAGAUGUCUUUCUUAUAGAUGCAAGCUUAUCUUGCUUACUACUUGCAUUGCCAGCAUCCCUACCUAUCUUAUGUCCAUUAUGAAACUCCCUAAGAGCAUCUCCAAUAGAUGGUCCAAAAUUUGGCAGUCCAAAACCGGAGAUGUAAAAUUUGGACCGCCAAAAAGUGCGGUUUGGAGCUCCGAAAAAAUCUCAACUCCAACAGAUGGUCCAAAUCUGCAACUCCAAUAG
RNAcentral lists this ribosomal RNA (411 nucleotides) under Triticum aestivum (bread wheat). Its description in RNAcentral is "partial small subunit ribosomal RNA". The record is from RNAcentral. Lineage: Eukaryota; Viridiplantae; Streptophyta; Magnoliopsida; Poales; Poaceae.